GCCAGGGUAGCUCAGCGGUAGAGCAGGGGACUCAUAAGCCCUUGGUCGGAGGUUCGAUUCCUCUCCCUGGCACCA
RNAcentral lists this transfer RNA (75 nucleotides) under Verrucomicrobiales bacterium. RNAcentral describes it as "tRNA-Met". It matches the Rfam family "tRNA". From Rfam's summary of the family: Transfer RNA (tRNA) molecules are approximately 80 nucleotides in length. Their secondary structure includes four short double-helical elements and three loops (D, anti-codon, and T loops). Further hydrogen bonds mediate the characteristic L-shaped molecular structure. tRNAs have two regions of fundamental functional importance: the anti-codon, which is responsible for specific mRNA codon recognition, and the 3' end, to which the tRNAs corresponding amino acid is attached (by aminoacyl-tRNA synthetases). tRNAs cope with the degeneracy of the genetic code in two manners: having more than one tRNA (with a specific anti-codon) for a particular amino acid; and 'wobble' base-pairing, i.e. permitting non-standard base-pairing at the 3rd anti-codon position. The record is from RNAcentral. Lineage: Bacteria; Pseudomonadati; Verrucomicrobiota; Verrucomicrobiia; Verrucomicrobiales. RNAcentral also lists the same sequence under 1 other name.